AGAGUUUGAUCAUGGCUCAGGACGAACGCUGGCGGCGUGCUUAACACAUGCAAGUCGAACGAGAUCCAACCAGUGGCAACACUGGGGAAGAUCUAGUGGCGAACGGGUGAGUAACACGUGAGGAACCUGCCCCGAAGUCUGGGAUAAGCCCUCGAAAGGGGGUCUAAUACCGGAUGUCCUCAUCAGGUCGCAUGGCCGGAUGAGGAAAGGUCCGCUGCUUCGGGAGGGCCUCGCGGCCUAUCAGCUUGUUGGUGAGGUAACGGCUCACCAAGGCUACGACGGGUAGCUGGUCUGAGAGGACGAUCAGCCACACUGGGACUGAGACACGGCCCAGACUCCUACGGGAGGCAGCAGUGGGGAAUCUUGCGCAAUGGGCGAAAGCCUGACGCAGCAACGCCGCGUGCGGGAUGACGGCCUUCGGGUUGUAAACCGCUUUCAGUGGGGACGAAAUCAGACGGUACCCACAGAAGAAGCCCCGGCCAACUACGUGCCAGCAGCCGCGGUAACACGUAGGGGCGAGCGUUGUCCGGGAUUCAUUGGGCGUAAAGAGCUCGUAGCGGCUCAGUAAGUCGGGUGUGAAACCCUCAGGCUCAACCUGGGGACGCCACUCGAUACUGCUGUGGCUAGAGUCCAGUACGGGGA
This 642-nucleotide ribosomal RNA is filed under the name uncultured bacterium. RNAcentral's name for it is "bacterial SSU rRNA". It matches the Rfam family "Bacterial small subunit ribosomal RNA", at positions 8 to 659 of the family's 1533-position model. The record is from RNAcentral.